RNAcentral lists this transfer RNA (67 nucleotides) under Caridina multidentata. RNAcentral describes it as "tRNA-Val". The record is from RNAcentral. Lineage: Eukaryota; Metazoa; Arthropoda; Malacostraca; Decapoda; Atyidae.
UGAACUGUAGCUUAAUAAGAAGCAUCUCAGUUACGUUGGGAAGAUCAUCGUUUGCGAUGUAGUUCAA